This 1368-nucleotide ribosomal RNA is filed under the name uncultured bacterium. RNAcentral describes it as "bacterial SSU rRNA". It matches the Rfam family "Bacterial small subunit ribosomal RNA". The record is from RNAcentral.
GAGUUUGAUCCUGGCUCAGGACGAACGCUGGCGGCGCGCCUAACACAUGCAAGUCGAACGAGCGAGAGGAAGCUUGCUUUCUCAAGCGAGUGGCGAACGGGUGAGUAACGCGUGAGGAACCUGCCUCAAAGAGGGGGACAACAGUUGGAAACGACUGCUAAUACCGCAUAAGCCCACAGCUCGGCAUCGAGCAGAGGGAAAAGGAGCAAUCCGCUUUGAGAUGGCCUCGCGUCCGAUUAGCUGGUUGGUGAGGUAACGGCCCACCAAGGCAACGAUCGGUAGCCGGACUGAGAGGUUGAACGGCCACAUUGGGACUGAGACACGGCCCAGACUCCUACGGGAGGCAGCAGUGGGGAAUAUUGCACAAUGGGGGAAACCCUGAUGCAGCGACGCCGCGUGGAGGAAGAAGGUCUUCGGAUUGUAAACUCCUGUUGUUGAGGAAGAUAAUGACGGUACUCAACAAGGAAGUGACGGCUAACUACGUGCCAGCAGCCGCGGUAAAACGUAGGUCACAAGCGUUGUCCGGAAUUACUGGGUGUAAAGGGAGCGCAGGCGGGAAGGCAAGUUGGAAGUGAAAUCCAUGGGCUCAACCCAUGAACUGCUUUCAAAACUGUUUUUCUUGAGUAGUGCAGAGGUAGGCGGAAUUCCCGGUGUAGCGGUGGAAUGCGUAGAUAUCGGGAGGAACACCAGUGGCGAAGGCGGCCUACUGGGCACCAACUGACGCUGAGGCUCGAAAGUGUGGGUAGCAAACAGGAUUAGAUACCCUGGUAGUCCACACUGUAAACGAUGAUUACUAGGUGUUGGAGGAUUGACCCCUUCAGUGCCGCAGUUAACACAAUAAGUAAUCCACCUGGGGAGUACGACCGCAAGGUUGAAACUCAAAGGAAUUGACGGGGGCCCGCACAAGCAGUGGAGUAUGUGGUUUAAUUCGACGCAACGCGAAGAACCUUACCAAGUCUUGACAUCCUGCGACGCACAUAGAAAUAUGUGUUUCCUUCGGGACGCAGAGACAGGUGGUGCAUGGUUGUCGUCAGCUCGUGUCGUGAGAUGUUGGGUUAAGUCCCGCAACGAGCGCAACCCUUAUGGUCAGUUACUACGCAAGAGGACUCUGGCCAGACUGCCGUUGACAAAACGGAGGAAGGUGGGGAUGACGUCAAAUCAUCAUGCCCUUUAUGACUUGGGCUACACACGUACUACAAUGGCGUUAAACAAAGAGAAGCAAGACCGCGAGGUGGAGCAAAACUCAGAAACAACGUCCCAGUUCGGACUGCAGGCUGCAACUCGCCUGCACGAAGUCGGAAUUGCUAGUAAUCGCAGAUCAGCAUGCUGCGGUGAAUACGUUCCCGGGCCUUGUACACACCGCCCGUC